Molecule: RNase P RNA, 370 nt
Filed under: Nitrospirae bacterium GWC2_56_14
Lineage: Bacteria; Pseudomonadati; Nitrospirota
Description: RNase P RNA component class A
Rfam family: Bacterial RNase P class A
About the family: Ribonuclease P (RNase P) is a ubiquitous endoribonuclease, found in archaea, bacteria and eukarya as well as chloroplasts and mitochondria. Its best characterised activity is the generation of mature 5'-ends of tRNAs by cleaving the 5'-leader elements of precursor-tRNAs.
Source: RNAcentral
AGAGCGGGUGAGGUGAUCGCUCUCCGGCAACGGAGGGAGGAAAGUCCGAGCUCCGCAGGGCAAGGCGGUCCCGAAACGGGACAGGGGGCGACCCCAUGGAUAGUGCCACAGAAAAGAAGACCGCCCGCAAGGGUAAGGGUGAAACGGUGGGGUAAGAGCCCACCAGAUUCCCGGGCGACCGGGAGUGCUUGGAAAACCCCGCCUGGAGCAAGGUCACAUAGGGAAGCGUCCCCCGUAAGGGGGUAAGGACGGCCCGUCCGAGACUUCCGGGUAGAUCGCUCGUGCUUUCGAGCAAUCGAAGGCCCAGAUAAAUGAUCACCACUUCCGGGAAACCGGGAGGACAGAACUCGGCUUACGACCCGCUCUGAUC